UAAUACGGAGGGGGCAAGCGUUACUCGGAAUUAUUGGGCGUAAAGGGCGCGUAGGCGGUCCUGUGCGUCGGAGGUGAAAUCCCCGGGCUUAACCCGGGAGCUGCCUCCGAUACGGCGGGACUUGAGUCCGGGAGAGGGGAGCAGAAUUCCCAGUGUAGCGGUGAAAUGCGUAGAUAUUGGGAGGAAUACCAGUGGCGAAGGCGGCUCCCUGGACCGGUACUGACGCUGAGGCGCGAAAGCGUGGGUAGCAAACAGG
This 256-nucleotide ribosomal RNA is filed under the name uncultured bacterium. RNAcentral's name for it is "partial 16S ribosomal RNA". It matches the Rfam family "Bacterial small subunit ribosomal RNA", at positions 521 to 776 of the family's 1533-position model. The record is from RNAcentral.